AUGGAGUUCCUGCUGAACCACUCAAUAGCUUAAAAUACAACCAGCCCCUCUCCCUCCUGGGCCCGCUGCCGGGGAGGGCUGAAACCCUAGCCUCUCCCCGGGCUGGGGCUCUGCAGCCAGGCCAGGAGUCGUGGUGCACCAACUGGCUAUGAGUGGGCAGCAAGCAUGGAGAGGGGCCACAGCGAAGAGUGAUCCCAAGCCACAAGGAGAGGAGCUGCCUGAACCAGAGGAAGACUCUGGCAAACCAGGAAGCUUAAGGAAGCCAGACCUAAACCUGGAGGACAAACUGACUAGAGGUGUUCGUCGGACAUUGUCCAUUAUGUCCACCCGACUCCACUCAAGCCAGCAGGCAGAUGGAAAACCGCUCGGCUACCGUGUCUGCCUGUGAGCUGUCUUCACGCUCCUGCCACGAAGGCAGUGAACUUCUGGAACUCAGGAGGCCCAGGAUCAGCAGGUGACAGCUCCCACAGAAGAUUCAGCAGCCAUUUUAGGGGCCAAGGUAAUGAGUGGUUGAAGAUGUGGCUGUGGUCAAAGCCACUGGGCUUGUGGACAUAAAGCCAAAGACAAGGAGUGGAUCCCUGUCACCAAGCUGGGCUGCCUGGACAUGAUCAAGUCCUUGGAGGAGAUCUACCUGUUCUCCCUGCCCAUUAUGGAAUCUGAUAUUAUUGACUUUUUCCUGGAUUCAUCUAAAGGAUGAGGUUCUGAAGGUCCUGCCAGUGCAGCUGGACAA
RNAcentral lists this long non-coding RNA (730 nucleotides) under Rattus norvegicus (Norway rat). RNAcentral describes it as "long non-coding RNA NONRATT014107". Lineage: Eukaryota; Metazoa; Chordata; Mammalia; Rodentia; Muridae. The record is from RNAcentral.